This 698-nucleotide unclassified non-coding RNA is filed under the name Hevea brasiliensis (rubber tree). The record is from RNAcentral. Lineage: Eukaryota; Viridiplantae; Streptophyta; Magnoliopsida; Malpighiales; Euphorbiaceae.
CACCAACAUUCAUAAGCUUCUCUCUAAAAGAAUCCUCCAUUUCCUCAGCAAGUAAAUACCUAAGAACAAGCACUAGGUGAGCACCAAAUCGAAUCAUUUGAGGAUCACCAUGAGGCCUAAAGACAUUUUGAUCAUNNNNNNNAGGUGCUAUCCAUGACCAGAUCAUGUCCAACAGGUGUGGUAUGUUACCCAACAUAAGAUCCAUCUCAAUUUGCCGUUGAUGCUCUUUGCACCCUCGAGUAACAGCUUCAUUAACCAUUUCACCUGAGUGGAGUUUCUGUAGAAGAGCAGACAGGUUUCGUGGUUGCUGGUUCAGAACUUGGAGUGGCCAAUUUUCUGGUCCCAUGGAAGACUGAGACAUACCAUUUAUUAGUUCAGGACUUCCAUCAAUACCAUCUCCAUAGCUUUUAAGCUGCUCUAUUCUACCAGGUUGUGAACGAGCUAGCUCCAAAUCUACCUGAACAUCAAGCCAAGACUUUGCCAUUGCCCAGCAUGCUGACUCCCAGUCCGUGCAAAUUGGAAGCAUGCGUUUAAGAUCACUGCAUUGUACUGCAUAUACAGCAACUUCAUAUUUUCCACCAUUUUGCUCUGCAAUUUUCUCUGAUGCACAAUAGGAAGCCCAUUUCCAAAGGCGCCAUUGAUGACCAAUGCCACUUUCCAAUUCAAUGGCUUGCAGGGUUCUGUUCUUUCCAUUCUUC